Molecule: ribosomal RNA, 490 nt
Filed under: uncultured bacterium
Lineage: Bacteria
Description: partial 16S ribosomal RNA
Rfam family: Bacterial small subunit ribosomal RNA
Source: RNAcentral
AGUGAACGCGGGCGGUAGGCCUAACACAUGCAAGUCGAACGGCAGCACAGGAGAGCUUGCUCUCUGGGUGGCGAGUGGCGGACGGGUGAGGAAUACAUCGGAAUCUGCCCAGUCGUGGGGGAUAACGUAGGGAAACUUACGCUAAUACCGCAUACGACCUUCGGGUGAAAGAGGGGGAUCGCAAGACCUCUCGCGAUUGGAUGAGCCGAUGUCGGAUUAGCUAGUUGGCGGGGUAAUGGCCCACCAAGGCGACGAUCCGUAGCUGGUCUGAGAGGAUGAUCAGCCACACUGGAACUGAGACACGGUCCAGACUCCUACGGGAGGCAGCAGUGGGGAAUAUUGGACAAUGGGCGCAAGCCUGAUCCAGCCAUACCGCGUGGGUGAAGAAGGCCUUCGGGUUGUAAAGCCCUUUUGUUGGGAAAGAAAUCUUUCAGGCUAAUACCCUGGGAGGAUGACGGUACCCAAAGAAUAAGCACCGGCUAACUUCGUG